GAAUUGUAAUGGGGGUUGAUGCUGGCACGCUGCCUUUUGGCUUGCAUGUGCUCGCCCCCAACAAUCCUUUAUCCCAAACACCUGUGCAUCUUUUGGAAGGGGGUUUCAAGCAGGCUUACUGCUAGAAUUCUCCCUUUCUUCACAUAUACACUCUUUUCAAUCUUGAAUGUGAUUCUGCCGUUAAGGCAUUAAUAUAAUACAACUUUUAACAACGGAUCUCUUGGCUCUCGCAUCGAUGAAGAACGCAGCGAAAUGCGAUAAGUAAUGUGAAUUGCAGAAUUCAGUGAAUCAUCGAAUCUUUGAACGCACCUUGCGCUCCUUGGUAUUCCGAGGAGCACGCCUGUUCGAGUGUCGUGAAGUUCUCAAGCUUUAGAUGCUUUUUGUUUGACAAAUAUGCUCCCUAAGCUUGGUAUUGGGCUUUGCCGUGUCCCGUCUUGGAACGGCUGGUCUUAAAUGCAUUAGCUUGGCCCCUCAUCUGGCAUUGGUUCUACUCAGUGUGAUAAUUAUCUGACCGCUGAGGACAUCUUUUGGGAUGGCCAAUUCUUGUUGGGGUUGCUUUCUAAUCUGGUUUACUGGAUUCUUGAAAUCCGGUGCCACUUUCAAUUUUGACCUCGAAUCAGGUGGGACUACCCGCUGAACUUAAGCAUAUCAAUAA
Molecule: ribosomal RNA, 655 nt
Filed under: uncultured Clavulinaceae
Lineage: Eukaryota; Fungi; Basidiomycota; Agaricomycetes; Cantharellales; Hydnaceae
Description: eukaryotic LSU rRNA
Rfam family: 5.8S ribosomal RNA (bases 201-354)
Source: RNAcentral